RNAcentral lists this ribosomal RNA (253 nucleotides) under uncultured bacterium. RNAcentral's name for it is "partial 16S ribosomal RNA". It matches the Rfam family "Bacterial small subunit ribosomal RNA", at positions 524 to 776 of the family's 1533-position model. The record is from RNAcentral.
UACAGAGGGUGCUAGCGUUGUUCGGAAUCAUUGGGCGUAAAGGGCGUGUAGGCGGUUUGUUAAGUCAUGUGUGAAAUCCCUCGGCUCAACCGGGGAACGACGCAUGAAACUGGCAAGCUAGAGUACCAAAGAGGGGGGUGGAAUUCCCGGUGUAGCGGUGGAAUGCGCAGAUAUCAGGAGGAACACCAACGGCGAAGGCAGCUCGCUGGGACGGUACUGACACUAAGGCGCGAAAGCGUGGGGAGCGAACAGG